This 89-nucleotide microRNA precursor is filed under the name Microtus ochrogaster (prairie vole). RNAcentral's name for it is "miRNA (ENSMOCG00000006441.1)". Lineage: Eukaryota; Metazoa; Chordata; Mammalia; Rodentia; Cricetidae. The record is from RNAcentral.
GAGAUUCAGAGGAUUAAAGGUCAUUUCCUUGAGGAGUAAAGUCCUGGGCAGGUUUGGAGUGGUCAGCAAGGCCCUUUGUGUCUCUCUAG